This is an RNA transcript of Tribolium castaneum (red flour beetle), 3483 nucleotides long. RefSeq lists it as uncharacterized. The transcript has 8 exons. Lineage: Eukaryota; Metazoa; Arthropoda; Insecta; Coleoptera; Tenebrionidae. The record is from RefSeq and is a predicted model, not a curated record.
GACCAUAACCUCUCUAAUCUGUGCCAUAACGGACUUCUCAUUUCAGCUGGGCUGGUUAAGUCUGUGUUAAAAGUUCUGGUCUUGAAACUUGAAAUGUUAAAUUGCAUUGACUUGCAUCGGCAGUUUUGAAUUUCAAAAGAUGUCAGGGAAAGAUAUCAAAUGUUGUGUGUGCCAAAAACAGUUUAGUGCAGUUUUUAAAUUGGCAAAACACGCGCGGAAGUAUCAUCCAGAACAAGCAGCUGAUAUCAUCCCAAAGAAGAGUUACAAAUACCAGUGUUUACAAUGUAACAAAAAUUUUUCCCUGUUAAAAAAUUUUAAUUACCAUAAGAAGACGCAUAACCAAUCGCAUAACCCACCUUCAAAGAACACAUAUGAUGCUGUGUGUCCGAUUUGCCAGUUGAAGGCACCAAAAGAUAAUUUGAUAUUGCAUUUUAAAGUAGAGCAUGAUAUAAAAUGUGAAACACUAGCAAUAGAAUUUACUACCUUUGAGGAAUUCUCAAAAUGGAAAUCAGAUAUGGAACAUGAUACCAAAAGUAAAUAUGUUGCAGAGCGGGGAUCUCAACGUGGUAAAGAUGGGACCACAAUAAUCAAGUACUGUUGUCAUCGUUCUGGGAAAUAUGUUGCUAGCGGGAAAGGGUUAAGACAUUUAAAAACACAAGGUUCAAAUAAAAUUGACGGUUUCUGCCCUGCUCGUUUAAAAGUAAUCAUCGACAAGAACAACCAGUGUAAAGUGUCUUUUAUCAAACAACACGUGGGUCACGAUGAAGGAGAUUUGCGGCAUUUAUUCCUCACCCUUCAGGAGAGAAAAUGUUUGGCAAACAAAAUGGCAUUAAAAAUUCCUUUCCCCCAAAUUCUAGACGAGAUACGAGACUCAGUGGUGGGAUCACAAUUAGAUCGGAUUCACUUACUGACCAGAAAAGAUCUGAGCAACAUUGAAAGGAGCUUCCACUUACAAUCAUCAGUCGUUCGGCAUGAGAGUGAUGCCGUCAGCGUUGAUGCCUGGGUAAAACAAAGGGAAAGUUCUGGUAGUAUUCUCUUCUACAAACCCCAAGGAACCCAAUCUGAAAGCAAUUCCGAUUUACGAGAAGAGGAUUUUGUACUAAUUAUUAUGAACCAGGGUCAAGAAGAAAUUCUUAAGAAGUACGGUUCAGACUGCAUUUGCAUUGAUAGCACCCAUGGCUUGAACCAAUACGAUUUCGAAAUGCACACUUUAUUAGUGAUUGAUGAUGUACGGGAAGGAUUUCCAUGCGCAUUUUUAAUUUCCAAUCGGUCAGAUGAAACUGUAAUAAAAAUUUUUUUCCAUCAUAUCAAAGAAAGAAUUGGCUUCCAAGUUACUAGUAAAGUUUUUAUGUCUGAUAUGGCAGAAGCCUAUUACAAAGCUUGGAACUUCAUAAUGGGCCCUGCAAAGUAUAGGCUUUUUUGUACUUGGGAUGUGGAUCAGAGUUGGAGGAAAAACCUUUCCAAAAUUAAAACCAAGGAGAAACAAGUUAUGGUUUACAAGUACCUACGGACUUUAUUAGAAGAGAGAGAUGAAAACGCAUUCUUGCGUAUGCUGAAUGACUUCAUUAGGACUAUCACCAAUGACCCAGAGACUAACGAGUUUUCUGAGUACUUCAAAAAUAAUUACAUUAACAAUCGGCAUUGCUGGGCAUAUUGUUAUCGUUUACACUCCGGGCUGAACACCAACAUGCACAUAGAACGCAUGCACAGAACCAUCAAAUGUAUCUAUUUUGGUGGACGAAAAGUCAAGCGUUUGGACAAGGCAUUAGAUGAGAUAGAAAAAUUUAUAAGGGAUCGUUUAUUCAACCGCCGUACAGUCCUGUUUAAAGCCAAAAGCUUUCUACGGCCUUGCUUGUAUCAUACGGUGCUGGAUGGGAAAUUCCUUCAAAUAACUCUUUUGAAGUGUACGAGCUUGAAGAAAAGGAGGGUGGUAUUGCAUGUAAUAACUGCAAGUUGAUGUGCAUGGAUUGUGGUGUUUGCAUUCAUAAGUACACUUGUAGCUGUGUGGAUUCCUGUAUAAAAUUCAACAUGUGCAAACACAUACACCUAUUGUGUAGAUAUAGUAAAAUUCUUUUAAUUUUGGUCGAAUGUUGUAAAACGUUGUUGUCUUUCUUACUCUUCGAGAAAGUAGCUAGGAGCAAGUAAGAUAAACGAUGGGCCGCCCUCGGCUCGAACCAAGGGUAUAUUGUCUUUCUCGCACUUAGGUCAUUUAAAAGAGACACAAAACUUUCGCAAGCCCAACUACGCCACCCACCCAAAAUAUAUCAGUGAUUCUCAACAUGUUCAAAUAAUGCAACAAGCGCAGACAACAAGUAAAUUUUAUUUACAAAAAAUGUAUAAAAAUAUUAAAUGUACAAUAUUUACAAAUCUAUUUACGAUUUAAUUAACAUUUCGCUCUCACUUUCACUAGCUGUAUCGUCAAAUUCUCCGAAAUCACUAUCACUAUCACUAUCAUUAUCCGAAUUCACGUUAAUGAUAAUUUCUUUUUGCACCUGGUCAAGACAAAUUUGUUUUUUUAUGUCUUCCUCUAUUAGUUUGUCGCAAUGAUUGACUGUGUUGCUCCAAACUUCUGGUGUAACUUGAUUUAAAGCUUUUUGCCUCGUUUGUAAAAUAGAUUCAUCGGUAGAAUCAACUUUCCCGAUAUGUUUGUCGUAAAAACUUUUACUUAACGCCCAAACAUGUUCUAUCGGAUUAUAGUUUGUCUACUUUGUAAUUAAUAUCCUGUUUAUUAGACUUUGCAAUUGCUAAAAAUUCUUGUUUAAUAGCAUUUUGUGGGUGCACUAAUUUUUUCUCUUCAAGCCACCUUUUAAUUUCGUCUUUUUUUCAUGAUGACGACAAUGCUGUUUACAAAUUGUUCACAUUAAAAAGUCUUUGGGAUUUAAAAAUCACUUCCAAAUUAAAAUUCAUAAUUAACAUGUAUAUUUGUUGGUAAUAGUAAACAUUUUGUUUAUAAAGUUGACCAGGCAAAUAAACAAAAGACAUAUUAAUUUAUUUAACAACAGUAAACAUAACAAAUACCAAAGUGGCAUCCCAUAGUUUGGGAACGACUGGUAGACCCUCCCAUUUUCCGCUACGCUUGACGGUUUGUAUUUUGUUUCACUCAUUCGCAUAGUAACAACAAAGACAAAACUAGUAGCAGAUAGGAAAGUGUUAUUUGAUACACUUAUACAACAUUCGACCAAAAUUAAAAGAAUUUUACUAUAUCUCAAACAACAGAACACUUCCCUAACUAACUGCUAGUACUGGUCUGUCAGGUUCAGAUGAUGUUACAUCGAUAUUAUAGUCAUUUGAUCAUCUGUGAUACUCCACCAACGUUUUUGGGAUCAUUGUAAAAAAAAACAGAAGAUGAACGUAAUUUGCUGAUCAGCGAAGAUCCCAAAGCCUCUGAAGUUUCCGGAAUUGUAACCGGCCUUACCGUCAAUGAAGCUCUAAACCCCAAAGAGUUUGACAAGCAGUUUAUUGCCAAAGAAAGGCAGAGACUGA